AGCAGCAAAAUUUACCAAAUAUAAAAGAAAAACUAGAUUUCGUGGAAUCUUAUCUUCUAGGUUAUGACAACUAUGCAGAAGAUGAAAUAAAAGAAAUAAAACGUAAUUUUUCACUUUUUAAGUCCGAAAUAAAACAUCGAUGGGCUGCAGCACAGAAGAAAAAAACCAUUUUUAUCCAGAAAACGAUGCUUGGCUCAAGGGAACUAACGAUUCCUAGAACAAGGAAUCGACCAAGGCGACCAAUGAAGACAUUUGGUAAAUCAAGUGAGAGAUCCAAAAGAAGAAAACUUGGAGAUCUUUGGAUGUAGAAAUAUUCACUCAUGCUACUAGAGUGAAGUUAAGCGCUUGUGGAAAAAGGGCCGCUGCGAAAAUACUUAGACAUAGCCAGAUCACCAGGGCGAGGUCGAAAAUACAAGCGUGCUAUCUCUCUAUUCGUCAGCAGGAGAAAAAAGCCCAGAUGACACCAUUACGAGCUCUCGCUUUGUUUGUCGAGGCUGGUCUUUCUAGAAGCCAAUAUGAAAUUAUAAGAAGCGCUGAAAAGAAUUUAUAUCCCUACUACAGCAUUAUUCAACAUGCAAAAACGGAUUGUUAUCCAAAUAAGGAGUCAGUCCACAUCACAGAAACUUGUGCAGAAAUUAAUAUUCAAUCUUUACUUCAUGGGAUACAAAAUUCACGUGAACAAAUUUACCGAAUUUGCUAAUAAAACGGUAGAGCUUUAUGUACAACUAUAUCCAUGGUAUCCAAUGACACCAACCAUGCACAAAUUGCUCAUCCAGGGUCCAACAGUAGUAUAGCAUGCCCUUCUUCCUAUAGGUCAAUUAUCGGAAGAAGCCGCAGAAGCUCGAAACAAACACUUUCGGCUGUUUCGUCAUAGAUUUGCGAGAAAAUUUUCAAGGGUCUCUUGCAGCCGAGAUGUACUUAACAGAUUAUUGUUAACUUCAGAUCCGAUAAUAACUGGCAUAGGCCACAGCCAAGGAAAAAACAAAGCCCUUUUUAAAAGAAACUAUUGAUAUGCUGCUUCCUGCAGAACCUCACGAAGCCCAAUACGAAAAGGAUUUUGAGAAAUAAAGCGGAAAUGAUUGUGAAUUGUCUUCUGAAGAAGAAGAUACAUCUUCCGUUUGAACUGAAAUUGUUCAUACUUUUUCUAUUAUUUCAUUUUUUAUGCUACUUUUAUGUUCAGUUUUUAUUUUACUUGUAUUUUUGUUUGUUACUUUUAUAUGAAUAUAUAUAACUAAAACGUUUUAAAAAUAGAUAAUCUUAUUGAAAAAACAAGUAGAUAUUAUCACUAAAAAUGCAAUGAACUAAUUAUAUUGUGGAUUUACAACAGAUCAAACCACAAAAAUAAAUUUGGCCGCCCAGAUCGGUCAAAUGCCCCACUGUGCAGUGCACAUGUAUUUAUUGCAACAGGGAAGA
Molecule: long non-coding RNA, 1413 nt
Filed under: Androctonus crassicauda
Lineage: Eukaryota; Metazoa; Arthropoda; Arachnida; Scorpiones; Buthidae
Source: RNAcentral